Molecule: long non-coding RNA, 224 nt
Filed under: Elaeis guineensis (African oil palm)
Lineage: Eukaryota; Viridiplantae; Streptophyta; Magnoliopsida; Arecales; Arecaceae
Description: long non-coding RNA (EGUI_LNC056735)
Source: RNAcentral
GGCGUGUGGAUUCCUUUUUAGUUGUCCCUAAAGAGAAAAAAUCAGAUCUCCUCCCUCUUCAUGUUUCUUCCCAAAGAUUGGUGAAAAGAAGAUCAUCCCUUAUCCGUACGGAGCCCGACGUGCGUGCAAAGUAGAGGGCCUGUAUUUUUAGGCCUCAUAAGGCAUUGGAUUUGAAUUUUUCUAGAGAUUUUGAUCCCUAUUCCAUUGUGAACCAAGAUAAUCUA